This 28-nucleotide unclassified non-coding RNA is filed under the name Mus musculus (house mouse). RNAcentral's name for it is "oocyte_clustered_small_RNA7245". Lineage: Eukaryota; Metazoa; Chordata; Mammalia; Rodentia; Muridae. The record is from RNAcentral.
UGGUUUCAAAAGAGUAUUGUAGACACUG